RNAcentral lists this ribosomal RNA (473 nucleotides) under uncultured bacterium. Its description in RNAcentral is "bacterial SSU rRNA". It matches the Rfam family "Bacterial small subunit ribosomal RNA", at positions 32 to 479 of the family's 1533-position model. The record is from RNAcentral.
AAUCAACGCUGGCGGCGUGCCUAACACAUGCAAGUCGAACGCGAAAGCCCCUUCGGGGGUAAGUAGAGUGGCGUCCGGGUGAGUAACACGUAGGUAAUCUGCCUUCGGGUGGGGAAUAACCAGUCGAAAGAUUGGCUAAUACCGCAUAAUGCAGCGGCACCUAAUGGUGAUUAGUUGUUAAAGCGGGGGAUCGUAAGACCUCGCGCCUGAAGAGGAGCCUGCGGCAGAUUAGCUAGUUGGGAGGUAAUGGCUCACCAAGGCUUCGAUCUGUAGCUGGUCUGAGAGGACGGCCAGCCACACUGGCACUGACACACGGGCCAGACUCCUACGGGAGGCAGCAGUGGGGAAUUUUGGGCAAUGGGCGAAAGCCUGACCCAGCAACGCCGCGUGAGGGAGGAAAUCCUUCGGGAUGUAAACCUCACAAGCAAGGGAAGAGAGCUCAAGGCCGAAUAAGCUUUGAGUCCGACGGUACC